AACGAACGCUGGCGGCAGGCUUAACACAUGCAAGUCGAACGGAACCUUCGGGAUUAGUGGCAGACGGGUGAGUAACGCGUGGGAACGUACCCUUUGCUACGGAAUAACUCAGGGAAACUUGAGCUAAUACCGGAUGUGCCCUACGGGGGAAAGAUUUAUCGGCAAAGGAUCGGCCCGCGUUGGAUUAGCUAGUUGGUGGGGUAAUGGCCUACCAAGGCGACGAUCCAUAGCUGGUCUGAGAGGAUGAUCAGCCACACUGGGACUGAGACACGGCCCAGACUCCUACGGGAGGCAGCAGUGGGGAAUAUUGGAAAAUGGGCGCAAGCCUGAUCCAGCCAUGCCGCGUGAGUGAUGAAGGUCUUAGGAUUGUAAAGCUCUUUAACCGGUGAAGAUAAUGACGGUAGCCGGAGAAGAAGCCCCGGCUAACUUCGUG
This 433-nucleotide ribosomal RNA is filed under the name uncultured bacterium. RNAcentral describes it as "partial 16S ribosomal RNA". It matches the Rfam family "Bacterial small subunit ribosomal RNA", at positions 29 to 507 of the family's 1533-position model. The record is from RNAcentral.